This 87-nucleotide transfer RNA is filed under the name Methylococcaceae bacterium TMED69. RNAcentral's name for it is "tRNA-Leu". It matches the Rfam family "tRNA". From Rfam's summary of the family: Transfer RNA (tRNA) molecules are approximately 80 nucleotides in length. Their secondary structure includes four short double-helical elements and three loops (D, anti-codon, and T loops). The record is from RNAcentral. Lineage: Bacteria; Pseudomonadati; Pseudomonadota; Gammaproteobacteria; Methylococcales; Methylococcaceae.
GCCGGGAUGGCGAAAUUGGUAGACGCGCCAGAUUCAAAAUCUGGUAUAGGUAACUAUGUGUGGGUUCGAGUCCCUCUCCCGGCACAA